Paramuricea clavata is the source of this 5566-nucleotide non-coding RNA. NCBI's taxonomy places the organism in Eukaryota, Metazoa, Cnidaria, Anthozoa, Malacalcyonacea, Plexauridae. The record is from the annotation of a GenBank genome assembly.
CACAAAUUGAUUUGUAUAAAGAGCGAUGCGACGGAUCAUUUCAAAGAUCUAACAGGCGACGUUUUCAAACGCUGUGGCAAAUGUAACGGUUGGUUGUGCAACGGUCAAGAAUAGUUCCGAAUGAAAGAAGUUUGCUUAAUUAAGGUACGGAAAGCAAUGUAUAUAGAUUUUGAGAUUAAGUAAAUGCUUUAGUUUCCUGACGAUAUAGCUUUCAAGAUUUUGUGAAAAGAUAUCUCAAACAUAUAGGGGGCCAGUGAAGAUAUAUAAUAUUCUACAAUAAGCUGUCGUAGUUUGUGUCUGAACUACUUGAAAAAGAUAUCUCAAACGUGGUGGUCCAGUGUAGGUAGUAUUCUACAAUAGGCUGUCGUGGUUUGUGUCUGAACUACCUGAAAAAGAUAUCUCAAACGUGGUGGUCCAGUGAAGAUAUAGUAUUCUACAAUAAGCUGUCGUGCAUGGUUUGUGUCUGAACUACCUGAAGAAGAUAUCUCAAAUAUGGGGGUGCAGUGGCGUUCUACAAUAAGCUGCCGUCGUUUGUGUCUGAACUACUUAAAAAAAAUAAAUUAAAAAGUUUCAAACGAAGGCUCUCUUUCAGAUGUUAGUGCAUGAUCUUGUUAAAUUUUCCAUCUUGUUCAAACACAAACCACACGACAGCUUAUUGUAGAAUACUACAUACACUGGACCUCCACAUUUGAGAUACUAAGUCUUUUUCAGAUAUAGUUCCAAUUCAGACACAAACCACGACAGCUUGUUGUAGAAUACUACAUAUAUACACUGGACCUCACAUUCUCAUAUACAUUCUCAAAAACUAGACUGAGUAUACAUAAUAUAAAAAGUCCAGACAAUUAUCGGACACGGAAGAAAUGGACACUGCGAAAGUUACAUUAAUAACGUAGCACGAAUGGGCACACUAAAAUGUUUUCCCUCAUAUUAGUUGGAUUUGCUGAAUAUAAACGAAACAAUUUGCGAGUAGGAUACUAUAGUUUACCAUAUAUUUUCCGAGAUAUGUUUGUACUUGCCCUUGACAUUGACAUGAAAUUGUCAAGUUAUUUAUAGGGGCAGGUGAAACGAGGUGCAAAUUGAAUUUGAAAUUUUAAUUUAAAAUUGAGCGAGGCAGGAGGUUAAUGGCAACAUAUUGCUGGCCUUCCCUCGAAACGUGCAACUGUCCAAAGCUUAUUUGCAGCUGUAUAGUUUAAAAUACACAAACCACGGCAGGUUAUUGUAGAAUCUUGACCGUUUUUUCGUGUAUAUUCAAGUAUUGUUAAUUAUAUAAGGAAGGCAUGCAUAUAUUUAUUUAAGAGCCUCUCCCACCUGUCUGAGGCAUUAGAUGCGUGCAGGACUCGAAAUAGCGGGCUGCCGAUGGCCAAAAGGAGGCCAUAUUUCAGAAAUGGCAGGCAAAAACAAAUUUGAACUGCCAAAGUAAAAAAAAAAUGGCAGGUGAUAUUCUAUAGAUAUAUUUCAUUUCAUUUGCUUAUCACAACUCAUAUAUACUAGAUUAUUUAGUUGACUAAAUACGUUUACAUUUCAAAUGUAAAUCCAAGUUGACUGAAGUAAAUAGACAAGUUUAAAAAUAGUAAAAAUGCAUAUCAUGAAGACAUUGAUUUUUACAAUGAUUCAUAUAUGAGACAUCGCCAUUUUUAGCAGUUCAAUGAAUAAAAAUGGCAGGCUAAAAUUUAUUACACCUGCCAAGAAUUUUUAGAUUGACAGGCCAUAUUUUUUCUUUUGGCUAUAUCCCUAAAUUUACAUGUGCGCAAGUAGGCAAAGUUACACACUUAUCAUUCUAUACUAAACUCGGAUAAUUUUAUCAAAUUCAAUUUAAAAACAAUCUUAAUUUCAAUCCUUAAACCUCGGUUGGAGCUCUCACUCGGUUGUUCAAAAAUCGAUAUACGCUAUAACAACAGUAUAUCCCUAUAGGUUAACAUAAAAUUCAAAGCAAACUUCCUAACACCUUGGUUAUAAAUUUGGAAAUAUUUCUUCAGAAAUCUUGUCUGGAUCGAUAGGAGUUUUCUUCUCUGACGUUUUGAGAUAAAGAGACGUGCAGAAAUACAUAAACUUAUUGGCACCUGAGUACACUACACCCACACAGAGUACACACAUGAUUAUUAGAUUACACUGAAAUCGAAGGAACUAGACUCAGUUCCGAAAUAUUACAUACUCGAACCGACCUGACAGCGUAGCUCAGUUGGCAGAGCAUUGGGCUAGUAUUCCAAAGGCAGUCGUAAGUUCGAUUCCCACCGUGGCCAGGCAUAUUUUUCAAGCUUGCUCGGUGUGGAUAUACACUCAGAGUAACAUCACAAACAUCAUAUUCACCUGAGUACAUUACACCAACACAGAAAAAUCAUGAUUAUUAUCAGAUUACAUUGAUAUCGAAGGAACUAGACUCAGUUCCGAAAUAUCACAUACUCGAACCGACCAGACCGCGUAGCUCAGUUGGCAGAGCAUUGGGCUAGUAUUCCAAAGGUCGUAGGUUCGAUUCCCACCGUGGCCAGGCAUAUUUUUCAAGCUUGCCCGGUGUGGAAAUACACUCAGAGUAACAUCACAAGCAUCAUAUUCACCUGAGUACAUUACACCAACACAGCAAAUAUCAUAAAACAGCAAGUUACAUUACAUUACAUUAUUAUUCAGCUUGGAACAACCAGCCCAUGCAGAGCUAACUAACUAGGCUAGUCUUAUAGCUAACUAACUAGGCUAGUCUUCUAAGACUAUUUUAGUUAGCUUAUUACCAUGCAAACCAUAUAUAUUAACUAUAUUAACUAAUGUAUAUAUUAUUUUUUUUGUCAUUGGUAAUAAAUCUUCUUCUCCUUCUUACCCUAACCCCUAUCCCGUCCUAGCCACAACCCUUAUGGAAAGUAGUCAACCUUGUACUCCUUAUUUUGAUCUCAAACGGGGUCACAUUAAUAAUGCACGCGGCCACCAGUAGAAUGUCUGUUUUCAGCCAUUUUUCUAAACUAUCACAAUUCAAGCGUUUCGCUCAGUAUUGACCGUUAUAAACACAAGUAUAUUUUGUUAAGUUUUGGACCGAGUGAAAGCUAUACUUUGGACAAUACAAAGAUAUCUUGGUAAUAAGGGCGUAUCUUAAUCCAUCUCUACAAAGCUAGGGAUAUGGGCAGUCAAGAUUAAUACAAAACCUUGUCAUAUUUAAUAUCUUUAGUUCGGUUUUACGAUGUUAAGAUUACGGUAAGUUUACAUCAAAAUACUGUUGUUUUAUAAACUAACUUUGUUUAUAGUGGAUGUACGGCUGGACAGCUCUUAUACAAGUCUCAUGAUCAUCUCUACACGAACUGCCGUCCCAGAUUGGCAGCCGGUGACUCCGUAACAGUCAUCUCCAAUUAAACAUAAAUGUUAUACGAGGAAAACUGAUCUAACAUUAUUCAUAUGGGAUAGCCUGUUAAGCUUUUAACUACUCUGCAGUAUGGAUUAUUCCUUAUUGGAAAAACCGGAAUCCUUGACAAAUUUAAUAUAGUCAGACAAUGGACCUAUUCCCUAAUGUAAUGAACAAAAUUUUGAUCCAGACAAGUCUAGACAAAAAUUUCAUCACAGCUUGGAAGAGUAUCACAAAAUUAGUAGUAGCCUAUUCCGAAGUUUCGUUGCGAAAUGUUGUAAAAUGCGGAUAAUAUAGCCCUGUGAAGUUUGCCAUUUUCAGUCAUUUUGUGAUUACGCGCGGGAAAUUGAUACCUUUUUUUCAGAAAGCGGUACCAAUUUCCCGUGCGUCAGUACAAAAUGACUGAAAAACGGCAAACUUCUCAGGGCUAUAUUAUCCGCAUUUACAACAUUUCGCAACGAAACUUCGGAAUAUUACUAAUUUUGUGAUGCCCUUUCAAGCUGUGAUGAAAUUUUUGUCUAGACUUGUCUAGAUCAAAAUUUUGUUCAUUAGGUAAUAGGUCCAUUGCAUACAGCAAGAAUCGAACUCUUCUGUUCUGUUCAAUUUCGGAUUACACAUUUACAUAUUUCGGCCUAAAUUGAAUUACAACUUAAUCCACACAUACAAAUAAAUAUAGGAUUGCAUUGUGCACGACUUUGUAUAUGAAUGAUAAAUUAAUACGUAAUUAAAUAUCGUUUGUUUAAUUAUUGUUGUAAUAAAUCAAAAUAAAAUCUUCCAGUGAGAAUAUGGAGCACGUAUUCACAGAGAGGUCGAUACCAGUGACAAAGAACAACACUAUAACGAAGAGAGGGAACGGCACAGCCAACGCUGGAAAUGAUUUAGUUUUGGAACUGAAAAAAGCCUUGCCAUGUAUGUUAACUUUGUGUCUCUGUGCAGGAUCGCGUUGAAAUAUGUUUAAAUUGCGUUCUACUAUAUACUUUCUAAGUGCAACCAAUAGACCUUUCCCCUUUUAAGUGAGAUUUUGAUCUGGACAAAAAUUUCAUCACAGCUUGAAAGAGCAUCACAAAAUUAGUAAUAUUCCGAAGUUUCGUUGCAAAAUGUUCUAUAAAAUGCGGAUAAUAUAGCCUUGCGAAGUUUGCCGUUUUUCAGUCAUUUUAUAUUACAAACGGGAAAUUGACAAUCAGUUUGAUCAUCUGAUUAUCAAUUUCCCGCGUGUAAUACAAAAUGACUGAAAAACAGCAAACUUCGCAAGGCUAUAUUAUCCGCAUUUUACAACAUUUCGCAACGAAACUUCGGAAUUUACUAAUUUUGUGAUGCUCUUUCAAGCUGUGAUGAAAGUUUUGUCCAGACUUGUCUAGAUGAAAAUUUCACUUAAAAGGGGAAAGGUCUAUUGCGUUCCAAAGUGCGCAGGGGCACCGGAGCCACGGGGGCCACUGCCCCCAAUGCCCAAACAGUGCGGGGGCAGCAAGGGAGCAACAGGUUGCCCUUUUUUUAAGCAAAGUUUAAGCAAUCUUUGCAUAAAUUUUAACCAGUUGUAGUAAAAUUAAUGCUAAAUCAGGCAAUAUACAUCCGCACUCCGUCAGAACUCCAUUAAACCAGCCAAUGGCUGAAUUGGACGAUCCUGCUUAAAUAUUGUUAUCAUCAUUACCAUCAUCAAAAUAAAAAUCAGUAUAAAAUUGUUCAAAAUUAAUGUCGAAGUUUGCAGACCCAUAAUAGUCACAAGUAAUCGAGUAUCCAUACAGUAAAGUUUUAACAAAUAUUGCCGCCCAGAAAAAAUGAUGGCUGAGAAGCAAGUGCCUUUUUGAAAUGGCUGCCCCCGCCGCUUUACACUGAAUCUUCUGGCGCCCCUGAAAGUGCGCUCAAGAAUGUUUUCCAUUUGAUUCUAGAAUGCAUUCUGAGCAAAGUCUAGAUGUGUCCCCAUUUUCUUCAAGAAUGCGGUCGAAGCGCGAUCAAAUCGCAUUCUAAUUGCAUCUUAGUUCAAACUGCGUUCUAAUUGCGUCGCUUGAUUAUCGUUCAGUCCGCGUCCCAAAUUGCGUUUCAUUUCCCAUGGAAAUGCAAGUUUCAACACAAGUUUCAUAUCAACCGCAUAUAAGUCAAUGAAUUUAUAGUAAAGUACGCGGUGAAGUACUCACAUUUUGUUUCUUGAAUGCAGUUCCGUUGUGGGUCGCAGGAGUUCUUGCCGGAGUAUCGGUGCUUCUCAUUCUUCUCUGUCUAGUUUGUAUCUGCAAGAAAUGCUGUUGUAAGAGG